RNAcentral lists this long non-coding RNA (2744 nucleotides) under Mytilus galloprovincialis (Mediterranean mussel). Lineage: Eukaryota; Metazoa; Mollusca; Bivalvia; Mytilida; Mytilidae. The record is from RNAcentral.
AUGAAUACGAUUCUGAACUUAAUAAAUAAGAAGAAGUUGUUGAAUGACCCUAUUAUUGGGACAGAAGGUAUUUGCUGUUGCUGUUUGUCAAAAAAAAAAAAAAAAGCCAGGUGUAAAUCUAAGUGUAUGUUUGCCGACUUUUUGAACUCAAUAUACUGUUAUAAAUUUAACAACUUCGUGCUUGUGUCAAUUUUUUUACUCCAGUUAUGUUUUAGUACCAAUGUGUUCCACGAUUCUUGCUCUUUGGAUAUAAUUCACAGUCCAAAAUUCCUGCCACAAAGUCAAUUUAUUAAUAAAGAUAUUAACGGUUUCCUAAUCACAGAAAUUUAUGCCCUGCCGCGAUUUGCGUUCUUGGACACGGCGUAUAACUUGUAACCCGAUUAUUUCAUGCCCUUUCGAAUUCUCGUAAUCAAUCUCUAUUCUCCAUAGAUGAUUUUGUCAUCUUAGAGCUGCAGAGUCAUUUUAGAAUACUCGGAAGAAAUACGAAAACCGAAAUUUGAAACAGGAAGCUUUAAAGGAAACGAAAUAUUUGACGGUUACCGAAAACGGAAAUGAACAAAAUCCGGAAAUCGUAAAUUUUCAAAAAUAAAAAAAAUCGGGGCGGGACGAUUUCAGAGGGCGGGGGGAUGAAAAUCUAUCAAUUAAUUUUAAUUGGCCUUAUAAGGAUUCAUCUAUAAAAUAUUACUGUGAGUUCACUGAUUUUGGUGGGUACCAUUUUUCGUGGAUUGAGGAAAAAUUUCAUUUUUGUAAAUAAUUGAUUUCGUAGUUUUGCCAAAGUCUGAAUAUAUUCUGAUAGAAAAUUCAUAAUGCUUGGACAUUGGAAUUCGUGGUUCCCAGGUAACCAUGAAAUCAAUGAAAAUUAGUUUCAAACGAUUAAUAAUGAAUCCACAGUGUGUAAUUCAAUAAAUUACAAUUAAGUUAAAAUGUAUUAUUUGAUUAUGCCAUACCACUUCACUGGCUUCAGAAGACUUAAUACAAGCCCAUUUACCUGUAUUGAUGGAAUGUUUUGCAAUGCUCACUAUUUCCUUACCUGUUUUUGCUUAAUUUUAAGGUAUAUUUGGAUGGUAGUAAUAUUAUGAAACUCUACAGGGUAGCAUGGUAGAUGUUAAGUAGAUUAGUUUUUUACUGGUUCAACAAGCUUUGACAGAAGGCACUUUGCUAGGUACGUUUCAAUUGUACUUGUGUUUUUUUACUUCCUCUGCUUUUAUGUUUUUUGUCAUUUGACAACUACAGGUAUUUUUUUGAUAACUCAACUUUUGUCUGUCACAUCUUUCUGAUACUUUUAUACUCUUUUAAGGUUUAUAUAUAUUCCAGCAUCGUUUUAUUUUGUUAUUUUUUUUUCUAGAAUCCCCUUCCAGGGAUAUGGAACUUUUAAGAGUCCACUUUAGUAAACAUAUAAAUCGGUAGUGAGUCUGAAGUGCUACAUCAGAGCUGAUUAUUUUUCAGUCACUGAUAGUACUGUUUAUAAUUUUAUGUUUUAAAUUAUGGAUUAUAGAUUAUUAUAUGUUGGGGAAGAUCAUUUUGCUACAUGGUAAAGAAAUGAGGAUUGUAAUAUGUGAGUUUUUCUAAAUAUGAUUUAGUUAAAUUGACAUGAAUGCUUUAGAAGAAAAUUUAAUGGAAGCAAAAAGUAUAAACAUAAUAAAGGGUUUGAUAUGAGUAAUCUCUUUUAUAUAUAUAGUCAUCCUCAUAAAAACAAAACAGGAGAAAAAAAUAUAUGACAGGAUUAGUUUCUCCUAAACAAGACAACUCUUACUGAAAUAAAGGGGUAUAACUCUGUACUUUAUGGACACUUAGCUCAUUUUUACAGGAUCCCUAGUAUUCUUCUAACAUCUCAAUUAUUUAAGGGAUUUUAGUACAUUCCAUUAUUGAUUUAAUUACUAGAUUUGCAGAUUGUUUUGUUACUAGUGCACAUUCAAGUAAACAUUUACUAUUGUUUUAACUCAAGUGAUGUUGGUAAAACAUAUAACAUGCUCAUCUCAAUAAACAUUAUCACCACUUCAAAUUUUAUCACUAUUGACCAGAUAGUAGCUAUUUAUCUGAUGCCAAUUUUGCACACAGAAAGUGUCUAAAAGAAGAUCACUCACUUUGCCCUGCAUUGUAAAAAAAAAAAAAAAUCAGUAAAUGAAAAGUAUACCCCCAUUGGAAAUCAUCCAUAACAAAGUGUUUUUUUUAUAUACAAAAUGUUUGGGACUACAGGGUCCUUUGAGGUAUUGGAAGUUUUAUAAUCUGUUUGUCUUACCUGCAAGGAAAGACGCAAUACUUGACACUAAGCUGUCAGGAAGGGCAGUAAUUAAUUGUAUAAAGCUUUAUUAUUUAUUAAUGUAGAAAAGCUAGACCUCCAUAUUUUGAAAAAAGGUGUUCUGAAGUUUUGUCCGUCAUGUCAUAUACCUUUAACCUAAUUUUCAUGGUUGGUUCAGUGACGUUUGUUUAUUUUUUCAUAGACUGUUUCAAGUAACUAUGAGAAAGUGGUCAACCAUAAUUAGUGUACCAAUUCAUUGUAAGGUAUACAUGUAAAAAGAAAGUUUUACUUUAGACUUGCUUUUAGCUGCUACUUAAUCAGUAAUGCAUUGUUACAGUAAGAUCUGCAUUCAUGUCCACCCUUAUUGUUUCAUUCCUUAUUUAAAACUAAAACUUCUUACCUGAAAAUAAAUUUAUUUUUAUAAGAACAGGGUAUGUAUUAUACCUGUCCAUUCCUUUUUUUAUCAUAUAUAUAUGAUUCCUGAGAAAUAACUAUGAAACCAUGA